This 536-nucleotide long non-coding RNA is filed under the name Glycine max (soybean). RNAcentral describes it as "long non-coding RNA (GMAX_LNC002122)". Lineage: Eukaryota; Viridiplantae; Streptophyta; Magnoliopsida; Fabales; Fabaceae. The record is from RNAcentral.
UUCCUCACCCUCCCUUCCAUCUCUUUCUCAGUUACUCCGGUGAGUCUGCCACUUCAUGAGGUAAUUGCUUUCCCUCUGUCUUAAUUUGUUAAUUUCCCACGUAAAUUUAGUUCCAAAUUUACAUGAUGACUCUUCUUGUUGUUGGAAACAGUGUGAAGCAUAUCAAUGUUACAUUGUGGUCUCCAACAAAUGAAAGAUUAAUUACGUACCAUUUUAUCUGACUACCCUUUGAACAGUAAUUUCAUUUCAUCACUGAGAUAUCAUGCACCAUACUGAGAAAUACCAUGUGUAACUCUGGAUGUUUAAGUAAGAACUAUGAACACAUUUUUUUUUCCUGCUAUAGAUGGUGUUAUUUACUAAUAUCUGCUUUGAAAGUGAACACUAUUCUACGUAAGCAGUAGUAUAUAGUUUCUAAAGUUGAGGACAUUUCAAUUCAAUUUUUUGAGUCUCCGAAUGCAAUGUAACUCGAUCAGGCACCUGACACGUAAGAGCGGGGCCAUGGACGAUGAGUUUGCUUGCAGUGUGUAAUAGCGGAA